UACAGAGGGUGCGAGCGUUAAUCGGAAUUACUGGGCGUAAAGCGUGCGCAGACGGUUGCGUAAGUCAGAUGUGAAAGCCCCGGGCUCAACCCGGGAGGGUCGUGGCAAACCGGCGGGCUUGAGGCCGGUAGAGGUGGGUGGAACUCCUGGUGGAGUGGUGAAAUGCGUAGAGAUCAGGAAGAACACCCGUGGCGAAGGCGGCCCACUGGGCCGGUACUGACGCUGAGGCGCGAAGGCGUGGGGAGCGAACGGG
RNAcentral lists this ribosomal RNA (253 nucleotides) under uncultured bacterium. RNAcentral describes it as "partial 16S ribosomal RNA". It matches the Rfam family "Bacterial small subunit ribosomal RNA", at positions 524 to 776 of the family's 1533-position model. The record is from RNAcentral.